GACGAACGCUGGCGGCGUGCUUAACACAUGCAAGUCGAACGGAAAGGCCCUGCUUUUGUGGGGUGCUCGAGUGGCGAACGGGUGAGUAACACGUGAGUAACCUGCCCUUGACUUUGGGAUAACUUCAGGAAACUGGGGCUAAUACCGGAUAGGAGCUCCUGCUGCAUGGUGGGGGUUGGAAAGUUUCGGCGGUUGGGGAUGGACUCGCGGCUUAUCAGCUUGUUGGUGGGGUAGUGGCUUACCAAGGCUUUGACGGGUAGCCGGCCUGAGAGGGUGACCGGCCACAUUGGGACUGAGAUACGGCCCAGACUCCUACGGGAGGCAGCAGUGGGGAAUAUUGCACAAUGGGCGGAAGCCUGAUGCAGCAACGCCGCGUGCGGGAUGACGGCCUUCGGGUGGUAAACCGCUUUCGCCUGUGACGAAGCGUGAGUGACGGUAAUGGGUAAAGAAACACCGGCUAACUACGU
RNAcentral lists this ribosomal RNA (467 nucleotides) under uncultured bacterium. Its description in RNAcentral is "partial 16S ribosomal RNA". It matches the Rfam family "Bacterial small subunit ribosomal RNA", at positions 28 to 506 of the family's 1533-position model. The record is from RNAcentral.